This 692-nucleotide long non-coding RNA is filed under the name Cricetulus griseus (Chinese hamster). Its description in RNAcentral is "lncRNA (ENSCGRG00015039637.1)". Lineage: Eukaryota; Metazoa; Chordata; Mammalia; Rodentia; Cricetidae. The record is from RNAcentral.
CCGGGGCUGACGCGAGGAGCCCAGGCACAUCCCCAAGCUCUCGGAGUAGGCCCUAAGGGAGAGGAAACAUCAACAGUCAAAGAUCAAGCCAUCAAGAUGGUGUUGGUGGCUGGAUCUCAGAACGCAUAUAAAGUCUCUUUGGCAGGAGUCUCUCCAUGUAUCCCUGCACUGUUCCAUCCAGAACCAUCCUCCAGGAACAGCUGGAUGUACACCUUCCUGCUGGUGCAGGUGGAAGCUGGAGACUUCUCCCAGGACCACAGGGAAGGCUCCUUGCUGGAGAAGCUAAAACCAGGCCCGGCAUACACUCCUUCUCAACUCUCACUUCCAUGCUGGCUUUUCUGUGACCUAGUCUGAAGGAUCAGCCUCUCUUCUAUCUUCAGGCUUUUCUCUGAAGACUUCCUUCGGUUAUAAGCCAUGCUUGAUGUUUUAUUUGUUAGGUAUAUGAAUUAGUCGUCAAUGGACAAAAACUACAGAUCUUUUAUCUUCAUAGGCAGGAGUCAGUGAGCACUUGAGGGUUCAGAUACAAUACACAGAAGGAGACUGGAGAAGGUGAACGAAGGAAGUGCAGCAGUGAGGGACGUUCAAAAGCCCAAACCAGCAGCUUAGUGUGCUAGUGAACUUGUGACUUCAACACUUGGAGGGCCGAGGCAGGAGGGUCCAGGUUCAUUUCUUUUUUUUUUUUGGUUUUUGAC